GGGGGAUAACCAUUGGAAACGAUGGCUAAUACCGCAUGAUGCCUACGGGCCAAAGAGGGGGACCUUCGGGCCUCUCGCGUCAGGAUAUGCCUAGGUGGGAUUAGCUAGUUGGUGAGGUAAGGGCUCACCAAGGCGACGAUCCCUAGCUGGUCUGAGAGGAUGAUCAGCCACACUGGAACUGAGACACGGUCCAGACUCCUACGGGAGGCAGCAGUGGGGAAUAUUGCACAAUGGGCGCAAGCCUGAUGCAGCCAUGCCGCGUGUGUGAAGAAGGCCUUCGGGUUGUAAAGCACUUUCAGUCGUGAGGAAGGUGGUGUAGUUAAUAGCUGUAUCAUUUGACGUUAGCGACAGAAGAAGCACCGGCUAACUCCGUGCCAGCAGCCGCGGUAAUACGGAGGGUGCGAGCGUUAAUCGGAAUUACUGGGCGUAAAGCGCAUGCAGGUGGUUUGUUAAGUCAGAUGUGAAAGCCCGGGGCUCAACCUCGGAAUUGCAUUUGAAACUGGCAGACUAGAGUACUGUAGAGGGGGGUAGAAUUUCAGGUGUAGCGGUGAAAUGCGUAGAGAUCUGAAGGAAUACCGGUGGCGAAGGCGGCCCCCUGGACAGAUACUGACACUCAGAUGCGAAAGCGUGAGGAGCAAACAGGAUUAGAUACCCUGGUAGUCCACGCCGUAAACGAUGUCUACUUGGAGGUUGUGGCCUUGAGCCGUGGCUUUCGGAGCUAACGCGUUAAGUAGACCGCCUGGGGAGUACGGUCGCAAGAUUAAAACUCAGAUGAAUUGACGGGGGCCCGCACAAGCGGUGGAGCAUGUGGUUUAAUUCGAUGCAACGCGAAGAACCUUACCUACUCUUGACAUCCAGAGAACUUUCCAGAGAUGGAUUGGUGCCUUCGGGAACUCUGAGAC
Molecule: ribosomal RNA, 902 nt
Filed under: Vibrio sp.
Lineage: Bacteria; Pseudomonadati; Pseudomonadota; Gammaproteobacteria; Vibrionales; Vibrionaceae
Description: bacterial SSU rRNA
Rfam family: Bacterial small subunit ribosomal RNA
Source: RNAcentral